Molecule: transfer RNA, 91 nt
Filed under: Acidothermus sp.
Lineage: Bacteria; Bacillati; Actinomycetota; Actinomycetes; Acidothermales; Acidothermaceae
Description: tRNA-Ser
Rfam family: tRNA
About the family: Transfer RNA (tRNA) molecules are approximately 80 nucleotides in length.
Source: RNAcentral
GGAGGAUUCGCCUAGCGGCCGAGGGCGCACGCUUGGAAAGCGUGUAGAGGGUAACCCCCUCUCGCGGGUUCAAAUCCCGCAUCCUCCGCCA